UCUUUUUGUUAUAAAUUUAAAUGUCUAACCUGCCCCCUGAUAAUUUUAAUGGCCGCAGUAUUCUGACUGUGCUAAGGUAGCAUAAUCAUUAGUUUUUUAAUUGGAAACUGGAAUGAAUGGUUGAAUGAAAAAUUAACUGUCUCUUUAUAAUUUAAUUAGAAUUUUAUUUUUAAGUUAAAAAGCUUAAAUUAUAUUAAAAGACGAGAAGACCCUAUAGAGUUUAAUAUAAAAUUUAAAUAUUAAUUUUUAGAAAUUUAUAAAUUAAAUUUAAAGAUAUAUUUUGUUGGGGUGACUGAAAAAUUAAAUAAACUUUUUUUAUAUGAAAAUAUUGAUUAAUAAAUAAUUGAUCCAAUAAUUUUGAUUAAAAGAUUAAAUUACCUUAGGGAUAACAGCGUAAUUUUAUUAAAGAGUUCUAAUCGAAAAUAAAGUUUGCGACCUCGAUGUUGGAUUAAAA
Molecule: ribosomal RNA, 454 nt
Filed under: Sphaeroderma sp. BMNH 828164
Lineage: Eukaryota; Metazoa; Arthropoda; Insecta; Coleoptera; Chrysomelidae
Description: partial 16S ribosomal RNA
Source: RNAcentral